This is a small nucleolar RNA of Astyanax mexicanus (Mexican tetra), 82 nucleotides long. Lineage: Eukaryota; Metazoa; Chordata; Actinopteri; Characiformes; Acestrorhamphidae. The record is from Ensembl.
UUUAUUGAAAUGAUGAGUUUGUUCAUGUCUCUUCUCUGACCAAUUACUGGAGAGAAUGUAAAAAAAAACUCUGAUCACUGAA